AGAUUGAACGCUGGCGGCAUGCCUUACACAUGCAAGUCGAACGGCAGCACGGGAGCAAUCCUGGUGGCGAGUGGCGAACGGGUGAGUAAUACAUCGGAACGUGCCCAAUCGGUGGGGGAUAACGCAGCGAAAGCUGUGCUAAUACCGCAUAAGAUCUACGGAUGAAAGCAGGGAUCGCAAGACCUUGCGACGAAUGGAGCGGCCGAGUGGACAGUAGUUAGGUAGUUGGGUAGAGGUAAAGGCUACGACCAAGCCUUGAUCUGUAGC
This 267-nucleotide ribosomal RNA is filed under the name uncultured soil bacterium. Its description in RNAcentral is "partial 16S ribosomal RNA". It matches the Rfam family "Bacterial small subunit ribosomal RNA", at positions 26 to 287 of the family's 1533-position model. The record is from RNAcentral.